RNAcentral lists this long non-coding RNA (2963 nucleotides) under Equus caballus (horse). RNAcentral's name for it is "lncRNA (ENSECAG00000048591.1)". The record is from RNAcentral. Lineage: Eukaryota; Metazoa; Chordata; Mammalia; Perissodactyla; Equidae.
AGGACAUCAAGGCUCAUCAUCUUCAUGAGAACAGGACCUUUUUUAAAAUUGUUUUGUUCACUGCCAUAGUCCUAGCACCCAGAAGAGUAGCUGGCACAUAAUCAGCUCUCGAUAAAUGUUUCUUGAUAUUUCUAUGAGCGUGUACAUCCCCUGGGUCCAGCACCUUUUUCAUAAGUGCUAAUUUGAGUGCACAAAUGACUUCAAGGUGGCUUUGAACAAGACAUAUAUUCCGGUGUGAGUGUCUGCAUCUGGGAAAUACACUGGAGGAAUGCUCCUCCUUCGUUUCCCAAGUAAGUCUCUAACAGUUUGUACAUAUGAAGUGUGCUAGUCAGGAUGUGGGGGGUCAGAUCUGAAACCUGAUUGUAACUUGAAGGCAUAAAAUAAUCACACAGCUGUGUGCCUGGGCCCUGAGCGGCACUGGGCCUAAAGCAUAAUGUGCUUCAUCUGAUUUGCUGGAGAAUCUGGAUUUGUCGAGGCUCUUGGCUCAUUUGCUUCAGGUAGAUGCUCUUAUUUGCACAGCAAUCCAAGGGGUGGAAACAGAGCUGAGGUCUCUAGGAAGGGAGAGGGCAGCACAAGUUGGGGGGGCCACCCAGGGAGAACUCACCCAUCCCCACAUACUUUUCAUCAGAAGUGGGGUAAUGGCUUUACCUGGACCUGGGGUUUUGUGGGGCUACCAUUUACCCAAAAGCAGAUCAGGCUAGCUCCAUUACUAAGAAGAAGAAGAGAGUUGGCAACAGGGGCCUGGUCCUUUAGCCUGGAGAUUCAAAGACAGGGAUGAGUGAAAAGAGGUUUCAUAGGUUGACAAAGCUUUUAAAACCCCCAAAUCUGUUAGGAUCUAGUGAAAGAUGGAGGAGGCUGAACAUGAGAAACUGGUUUUUGGUACCUCUGGAUCUCCCCAGCUGACCACAGCCACCAAAAGCCUUGAUCGAUCCUCGAAGGUUGCGCUGUGCUAGACUCUUCUGGAAAGUGCUUGUGAGACCUGCAGGGAUGUUUCCCCUGUCUGUGAGCAUCCCGAAACCACCACUGGAAGCAAGGCAAACCGUCGCCCACCUGGCUCCGUGUAACUGCAGACUGUGCUGGUGCUUCUCAAGCCCAAGUGGAUGGGAUUUUGUUAAAAUGACUCAGCAGGUCUGGGGGAUGGCCUGAGAUUCCAUAUUUCUACCAGGCAUCCAGGUGAUGCUGCUGCUGCUGCUGGUUCUUGAGAAACAAGGCCCUGUGUGAGCACCUUGCAAGAUAAUGCAGGGCUCUGGAGCGGCGGGAGUAAUGGAGGGGGAGAGGAGGCCGGAUACAUGCUGACUCCUCACUCAACCUGUCUGAACUGUGGAUUCCUCAUUUAAAACGUGGAAUAAUUACAAACCUUACCCCACAGAGCCGCUAUGAAAAUAGCUAAUGCUCUCAGAUUCAAGAAGGACAAAGCCAUCACCACAGAAGAUUCCCAUGACGUGGCGUUUACUCUGCUCUCCGAAAAUGAAGGAUUGGUUCAUAGGACCCUUACUGCUGGCUAAGAAAUGACAUGCAUGUGACAACGUGAUGCUCUUAUCUGUAUCAUCUUGCAAUGUUUCUUUGGAACAUUAAAAACAAAGUCAGUUAUCAUCCUGGUCUCACACGCUCCUGAGUGCUCAGUUCUACUGCAUUUGAGGCUCCCUUCACUCAGGCUUCUCAACCCCCAAGUUGAAAAGCAGCUAAAGAUCCCUUGAUGGAUAUAGUUUAGGGAAAUAGAAGUAAUUCUUGGCACAACUGCUUUUUAAUGCAACACAAGAACUGUAAUUGCCACUGGAAAGCAGAAACAUUAUGGAAUGUUACAAGAUCCAUUUGAUUUGGGAAAAAAUAUAGUACAAUUCAGCCCAAGUGGUGACUAGUAAGUUAGCAGGGAAGACAGGAGAUGGAGCAAUAAAUAAUUUUCAGUUUUUAAGUUAAAUGUUUCAAUCCUCAUGAUAUAUUUAAUUCCUAACUUUGGGAAGUAUUGUACAGUGAAUUAGCUCAUUAAAUCCAGUAAGAAAAGCCUAGCUUAGCAGCUAACUGGGGAUAAGAAGAGGGUGAAAGCAUCUAUGUUUAAGGUCUUCUCAAACAAUGAAACAGAGAUAAUAUUAAUCCAUAGCCCUUAGCAUUUUUCAGAAAGUAUCUCUGGAUUAAUUCUGAUAGACUCUUGCAAGUUAUCACACUUUCUGGAAACAUUCAUGAAUGUAGACAGAAUUUAACUUCAGUAAGGUGAUUACCUGGCUCUGUCUCUAUUUCAGACUUUUUUCUCUAAGCAGAAUGCACUCAACAGGGAAAAUAUCCUAUUCUCGGUUAAAUCUUGGAAGAUGCAAAAUGCAUAAGUGUCCAGAGAAAAAUAGGACUAUUGUUACUCUGCACAGCCCACUCCUCAAGGCGUUCCCAUGCUUUUAGAAUCGAGUUUGUCUACAGUCAGAGGGAGGUAAAGAAAGAAUUGUUGGUCUGUGGGUAGUGAGGAUUAGGAUAGGCCAGUUUUGUUUUAACAAGCCUUCCACAGGGUCCUACUCAGCAUGCUUUGGCUCAACACUUCUGUCAUCUUUGUUGUUGCUGUCAUUACUAUUAUUACUAUUAUUUUGGUCCCAGAUGGAAUAGAAAUUUUCCCAGAAUUACUAAAUAGCCAGUUGUAACGCCAUGUUCAACUAUGUCCUCUAUCUAAAUUUAGCACAGGUGCAUGCGUAACCACUGUCAGAUUUAUUACCCAUUUUCUACAAGAACAAAUCAUACUACCAGAUAUUUGUGAAUUUCAUUAAAAAAAAAAAAGUCUACCAAAUGGAAUACAGAACAUCUGACACAAGAUCUGGGGUUGAAAAAUUUUCCACUUAUAAGGCCACAUUCUGCAUUCCUUCUCUUGACAGGUAUCCAAUUUGGGUUGAAAUUCUACAUUCAGGAAAUGUCUUCUUAGUCUUCUCUCCUUAUUAGGAUGUUAUUUUUAAAAGAGAACUUAAAAAAUCUUGAGAGGUAUUUGAUGC